CUACGGGACGCUCCAGUGGGGAAUAUUGCACAAUGGGCGCAAGCCUGAUGCAGCAACGCCGCGUGAGGGAUGAAGGCCUUCGGGUUGUAAACCUCUUUUAGCAGGGAAGAAGCGAAAGUGACGGUACCUGCAGAAAAAGCACCGGCUAACUACGUGCCAGCAGCCGGGGUAAUACGUAGGGUGCAAGCGUUGUCCGGAAUUAUUGGGCGUAAAGAGCUCGUAGGCGGUUUGUCACGUCUGCUGUGAAAAUCCAAGGCUCAACCUUGGACUUGCAGUGGGUACGGGCAGGCUAGAGUGCGGUAGGGGAGAUGGGAAUUCCUGGUGUAGCGGUGGAACGCGCAGAUAUCAGGAGGAACACCAAUGGCGAAGGCACAUCUCUGGGCCGUAACUGACGCUGAGGAGCGAAAGCGUGGGGAGCGAACAGGAUUAGAUACCCUGGUAGUC
This 444-nucleotide ribosomal RNA is filed under the name uncultured bacterium. RNAcentral's name for it is "partial 16S ribosomal RNA". It matches the Rfam family "Bacterial small subunit ribosomal RNA", at positions 339 to 795 of the family's 1533-position model. The record is from RNAcentral.